GGCCAAGACUUUAUCACGCUACUCAGAAUGGAGUGCAAUUUAAAACUCAUGAAUUGUUUAUUUUUGUAAUUUUCUGUUUAAGAUUUUUGAGCUGAGAUUGACCAUGGACAACUGUCCCACAGAAACUGAAACAGUGGAUAAGGGGUACUACUAUAUCGUUAGGAUAAUAAAGUAGACUACAAAAUAGUUCCAUCAGUAUAACUGCAACUUAAACAAAUACUACACAGAGAGGGGAGAAAAGACUAGAAGAUCCAGCAAGGAGCCUCCCAGAUGGAGUACAUGGAGACCGUGACUGUGAAAGAUGAGGAUCAAGUGCAGAUUUGGUGGCCUCUGAUUGCCAGUAUCUGGCAGCCACAUUCUCUUCCCACAAGAUGUGCUGGAAAUAUGACCAAGCAGAAGUUCACUUAAGUGAAUCCAACAGUUAAACCUACCAUGGAAGGGUGUGGUGCACAGAGGGCAUGUGGAGAAGAGAAGACCACAGUGGGAACCUCCAAGGAACUAACAUCUAGCUGGGGAUGAGGGGGGAUUUGGCUAUGUAGACA
This 542-nucleotide long non-coding RNA is filed under the name Pan troglodytes (chimpanzee). RNAcentral's name for it is "long non-coding RNA NONPTRT003581". The record is from RNAcentral. Lineage: Eukaryota; Metazoa; Chordata; Mammalia; Primates; Hominidae.